CUCUGAAAAGCGGACACGAGAUUGUGUCCCGCCGACGGUGCAAGUCGGCCGCUGGCGUCCGGGGUGCCCCCUGGGCGUGGUGGCCGGCGAAGCUCUCAGGCUCAUGACAGAG
This 112-nucleotide non-coding RNA is filed under the name Frankia sp. RNAcentral's name for it is "Glycine sequence". It matches the Rfam family "Glycine riboswitch aptamer", at positions 9 to 86 of the family's 94-position model. From Rfam's summary of the family: This family represents the bacterial glycine riboswitch. The record is from RNAcentral. Lineage: Bacteria; Bacillati; Actinomycetota; Actinomycetes; Frankiales; Frankiaceae.